RNAcentral lists this ribosomal RNA (2796 nucleotides) under Anaerolineae bacterium. Its description in RNAcentral is "23S ribosomal RNA". It matches the Rfam family "Bacterial large subunit ribosomal RNA". Lineage: Bacteria; Bacillati; Chloroflexota; Anaerolineae. The record is from RNAcentral.
GUGGUCAAGCUACUAAGGGCGUAUGGUGGAUGCCUUGGCAUCGUCUGCCGAAGAAGGACGUGGUACACUGCGAUAAGUUCCGGUCAGGUGUGUGCAACCGUGACGAGCCGGAAAUGUCCGAAUGGGGAAACCCACGCGGGGUGUAUACCUGCGUAUCCUGUGCUGAACCCAUAGGCACAGCGAAGGGAACCCGGGGAACUGAAACAUCUUAGUACCCGGAGGAAAAGAGAACAUUCCGCGAGUAGUGGCGAGCGAAAGCGGAACAGCCCGUUGCCCAUCAAAAGGAUAGCCCAAGUGGUCUGGAAAGCCACACCAGAGAGGGUGAAAGUCCCGUCGGCGAAAUCCCUAUCGGGCGACCUAGCGAGUAGCACCGGACACGCUAACCCGGUGUGAAGAUGGGGAGUCCACUCUCCAAGGCUAAAUACAGACGAUGACCGAUAGUGCAGCAGUACCGUGAGGGAAAGGUGAAAAGAACCCCGGCGAGGGGAGUGAAAUAGAACCUGAAACCAUAUGCUUACAAGCAGUCAAAGUCCCAUAUGUGGAUGAUGGCGUGCCUUUUGGAGAAUGAGCCGCCGAGUUAAUGGUUGUGGCAAGCUUAAGGGAGAGACACCCGGAGGCGCAGCGAAAGCGAGUCUGAAUAGGGCGCAGAGUGGCAACCAUUAGACACGAAACCUGGUGAGCUACCCAUGGGCAGAUUGAAGCGCGGCUAACCCCGCGUGGAGGAUCGAACCGGUAAAUGUUACAAAAUUUUCGGAUGACCUGUGGGUAGGGGUGAUAUGCCAAACGAACCAGGAGAUAGCUUGUUCUCUCCGAAAUAGCUUUAGGGCUAGCGUCUGAGGUUCAGCUGGGGAGGUAGAGCACUGGCAGGGCUAGGGGGCGCAAGCUUACCAAACCCUACCAAACUCCGAAUGCCCCUGCUCCAGACUCAGGCAGUCGGACGGCGUGAGAUGAGUUUCGUCGUCGAGAGGGAAACAACCCAGACCCUCGGCUAAGGUCCCCAAGUCGGUGUUAAGUGGCAAACGAUGUGGGAAUGUUUAGACAGCCAGGAGGUUGGCUUAGAAGCAGCCAUCCUUUAAAGAGUGCGUAAUAGCUCACUGGUCAAACGUUCCUGCGCGGAUAAUGUAACGGGGCUCAAACACCGCACCGAAGCCCGGGAGCAGCAAUGCUGGUAGGAGAGCGUUGCCUGUGCGUUGAAGAUCGACCGGCAAGGACGGUUGGAGCGCAGGCAAGUGAGAAUGGUGGCAUGAGUAGCGAGAAAUAGGUGAGAACCCUAUUCGCCGUAAGUCUAAGGUUUCCGACGGAAGGUCAGUCCGCGUCGGGUUAGUCGGGCCUUAGCCGAGGCCGAAAGGCGUAGGUGAUGGACAACGGGUUAAUAUUCCCGUACCAGCUUGUGGAGCACAGGCGGGACGGGGCCAGAUCAUCCAGCCUCUGAGUGGAUUGAGGUGGCAAGCGGGUCACGCCCGUGAUGCCGGCGCUUCGGCGCACAAGUGGAUAAGUCUGGCCUCCAAGAAAAGCGCACUGGCGUCGAAGCAAGCUGACCGUACCGCAAACCGACACUGGUAGACGGGUAGAAAAUACCAAGGCGAACGGGAGAACCUCUGCUAAGGAAUUAGGCAAAAUAGCCCCGUAACUUCGGGAGAAGGGGCGCCCCCGCGAGGGGGCCGCAGUGAAAGGGUCCUGGCGACUGUUUAACAAAAACACAGGUCGCUGCAAACGCGCAAGCGGACGUAUAGCGGCUGACGCCUGCCCAGUGCCGGAAGGUUAAGAGGAGGGGUGCGAGCUCUGAAUUGAAGCCCCGGUGAACGGCGGCCGUAACUAUAACGGUCCUAAGGUAGCGAAAUUCCUUGUCGGGUAAGUUCCGACCCGCACGAAUGGCGUAACGAUCAGGACACUGUCUCAGCAGGGGACCCGGCGAAAUUGAAAUACGUGUAAAGAUGCACGUUACCCGCAGCAGGACAAAAAGACCCCGUGGAGCUUUACUAUAGCUUGCUAUUGCGUUAGGGCGCAGCUUGUGCAGGAUAGCUGGGAGGCUUUGAAGCUGGGGCGUCAGCCUCGGUGGAGCCGUCGGUGAGAUACCAGCCUGGUUGCGCUUUGGCCCUAACCCUGGACCGUCAGCCGGCCAGGGGACAGUGGCAGGUGGGUAGUUUGACUGGGGCGGUCGCCUCCUAAAAGGUAGCGGAGGCGCCCAAAGGUUGGCUCAGGGUGAAUGGAAACCACCCGCAGAGUGUAAGGGCACAAGCCAGCUUGACUGCCAGACCAACGCGUCGCGCAGAGUCGAAAGACGGGCCUAGUGAUCCCACGAUACCGUGUGGAAGGGUCGUGGCUUAUCGGAUAAAAGCUACCCCGGGGAUAACAGGGUAGUCUGGUCCAAGAGUUCACAUCGACGACCAGGUUCGCCACCUCGAUGUCGGCUCAUCACAUCCUGGGGCUGGAUCAGGUCCCAAGGGUUGGGCUGUUCGCCCAUUAAAGUGGUACGUGAGCUGGGUUCAGACCGUCGUGAGACAGGUCGGUCUCUACCCGCUGUGGGCGUAGGAAGUUUGCGGAGGGCUGCCCCUAGUACGAGAGGACCGGGGUGGACGGAGCGCUCGUGUGCCGGUUGUCGCGCCAGCGGCAUCGCCGGGUAGCGAUCUCCGGAGGGGAUAACCGCUGAAAGCAUCUAAGCGGGAAGCCCACUCCAAGAUGAGACUUCCCACCGCAAGGUUAAGACCGCUGGUAGACCACCAGCUUGAUAGGUUGGGCGUGGACGCGUGGCAACACGUGGAGCGGACCAAUACUAAUGGUCGAGGGCUUCAUCAC